Molecule: RNA transcript, 3111 nt
Organism: Salvia splendens (bonfire salvia)
Lineage: Eukaryota; Viridiplantae; Streptophyta; Magnoliopsida; Lamiales; Lamiaceae
Gene name: cullin-3A
Exons: 3
Source: RefSeq, a predicted model, not a curated record
UGGAAUAAGAUGGCAAAAGGGAAUCGAAGAAUGGAGGAUUGUAUGGUUUCCUGCAAUUUCCCCUCUUAUAAUUAUCAACUCGAUUCGACAAAGAAAAUCAUCAGUUUAGCUUUAGCACCAAAACCUUAGAAACUUGCCCUCCUUUGACAAAGAAAUGAACAGCAUUUGCUCCUUUGAUCAACAAUAAUCUCCAAAUCCUGUUCAUGGUGGACUAAUUCGACCUUCAAUCCAAUCUAUCAGCGGUAUUCAGCUCCAAUUUCAUGCCCUAUACCUGGAUUUCCGCUUCGUUAAUCAAUUGAGAAAAUCCCUAAAAUUGCGCUAUCAAUUUAACCCUAAGAAUGAGCAGCGGGCCGAAGAAGAGGAAUUUUCAGAUUGAAGCAUUCAAGCACAAAGUGGUGGUGGAUCCCAAGUAUGCCGAAAAGACUUGGAAGGUUUUAGAGGAUGCUAUUAAAGAGAUUUACAAUCAUAACGCUAGCGGGCUUAGUUUUGAAGAAUUAUACAGAAAUGCAUAUAAUAUGGUAUUACAUAAAUUUGGGGAGAAGCUUUAUUCUGGACUUGUGUCGACAAUGACACUCCAUCUUCAGUCAAUGUCCAAAUCUAUAGAAGCUGCCCAAGGUGCCUCGUUCCUGGAUGAACUUAAUGCCAAAUGGAACAAUCACAAUAAAGCAUUGCAAAUGAUCCGUGACAUACUAAUGUACGUGGACAGGACAUUAAUCCCAAGCACCCAUAAGACCCCUGUUCAUGAGCUCGGGCUAAACCUCUGGAGGGACUAUGUCAUUCACUCUUGUAAUAUCCAGUCAAGGCUUUUAAACACCAUUCUUGAACUGAUACAGAGGGAACGCACAGGUGAAGUCAUCAACAGAGGGCUUAUGAGAAAUAUUAUUAAAAUGCUAAUGGAUUUGGGAGCUUCAGUCUACCAAGAGGAUUUCGAGAAACCAUUUCUUAACGUUUCUGCUGAUUACUAUCAGGCAGAAUCACAGGAAUAUAUUGAGUGUUGUGAUUGUGCGGACUACCUGAAGAAAGCUGAAAGGCGUUUAAAUGAAGAUAUUGACAGGGUAUCACAUUACUUAGACACAAAGACUGAACCAAAGAUAACCAAUGUUGUAGAAAAGGAGAUGAUAGCCAACCACAUGCUUAGAUUGGUUCAUAUGGAGAACUCGGGUCUGGUAAAGAUGCUUCUGGAUGAUAAAUCUGAAGACUUGGCAAGGAUGUACAACUUAUUCCGUCGGGUUUCAGACGGCCUCUCCACAAUCAGGAAUGUAAUGACGUCCCACAUGAGAGAUACAGGAAAUCAGCUUGUUACUGAUCCAGAGAAAUCGAAGAAUCCAGUGGAGUUUGUUGAGACACUCCUUGAGAAAAGGGAUAAGUAUGAUAAAAUCAUAAGCUCGGCAUUCAGCAAUGACAAGACAUUCCAGAAUGCCUUGAGUUCUUCAUUUGAGUAUUUCAUUAAUUUAAAUCCUCGUUCUCCAGAGUACAUAUCUUUGUUUGUGGAUGAUAAGCUGCGCAAAGGGCUGAAGGGAGUGAAAGACGAGGAUGUUGAGCUUAUUCUUGAUAAGGUAAUGAUAUUGUUCCGUUACCUUCAGGAGAAAGAUGUUUUUGAGAAAUACUACAAACAGCACUUGGCAAAGAGGCUCCUGUCAGGAAAAACAGUAUCGGAUGAUGCAGAAAGAAGUCUCAUUGUCAAACUGAAGACUGAAUGUGGGUAUCAGUUUACAUCAAAAUUGGAAGGGAUGUUUACAGAUAUGAAGACGUCUCAGGACACUAUGCAAGGGUUUUAUGCUGCCUGCGGUGCUGAGCUGGGGAAUGGCCCAGCAUUAGUCGUCCAGGUUUUGACUACUGGGUCGUGGCCUACUCAAUCCACCAACACUUGCAACCUUCCAGCUGAGCUGUCAACUCUCUGCGAGAAGUUUCGAUCAUAUUACCUGAGGACUCAUACAGGUAGGAGAUUGACCUGGCAGACAAAUAUGGGAACAGCUGAUCUGAGAGCAACCUUUGGGAAUGUACAGAAGUAUGAGUUGAAUGUUUCGACUUAUCAAAUGUGUGUUUUAAUGCUGUUCAACAGUAACGAACAUCUUAGCUACAAGGAGAUUGAGCAGGUCACAGAGAUUCCAUCUUCUGACUUGAAACGGUGCCUGCAGUCCUUAGCUUGUGUAAAAGGGAAAAAUGUGCUUCGUAAAGAGCCCAUGAGCAAGGAUAUCGGAGAGGAUGAUGCAUUUUCUGUUAAUGACAAUUUCACCAGUAAACUUCGAAAGGUUAAAAUAGGAACUGUGGUUGCACAAAAAGAAUCUGAGCCGGAGAAGCAAGAGACAAGGCAGAGGGUGGAGGAAGAUAGGAAGCCCCAGAUUGAGGCUGCAAUAGUCAGAAUCAUGAAAUCGAGGAGGGUGCUGGAUCAUAAUAAUAUUAUUGCUGAGGUGACAAAACAAUUGCAGUCACGGUUCCUGGCCAACCCCGGGGAGAUCAAGAAACGAAUCGAAUCCCUUAUAGAGCGAGAUUUCUUGGAAAGGGAUAAUGCAGAUAGACGAUUAUACCGGUAUCUUGCGUGAAAUUUUUCUCCAAUAUUUCCAGGUUAGCUUUUGCCAUGAAAGUGCUACUGGUUGACAGUCGAGACAAGUUUAUUUCUGAAAGAUGCAAUUUUUCUUUUGAGUGAAACUAUUAUCUCUUCUUGCAAUGGCCACUAUUCAAUUCCACCCUUUGUAACAUCAUUUGCGUAUUGCCUACAGCUAUGAAUUCACUCUCUCGUCGUGCAAUGUGCUGUACUCGCAUCUCAAUCUCAUACAAUUUUUGGUUCAUGGCUGUAACUUUGGAGUUUAGUGGGGAGCCAACUUAGAGAAGGACGGGGAAGAGAAGAGAGAAGGGUAGAAGAUCUUGUACUGCAGCUCCCUUGACCAAAGCAAUUCAGCUUUUAUCUUAAGUUUAGGCACCACAAUUCCAUAGAGUAAAAUUAGCUACCACUUUAUUCCUCUUUGAGAAGGGUCUCCCAUAUGCUUGAAGGAAUCUUACGCGUAGCUCCAUGCUUCCAAUUUGUAUAGCAUGUGUUGUCUUUUAAUGUAUACAUGUAUAUUCCACAUUUCUCUAAAUAAAGUAUUUUCUCCACUUUUAUCCUUGAAAUAA